AUUUGUAUUAUUGUAGCUUGUGGUAUGGGUGAGUGAUAGAUGAGUGAUAAGCUGACUGGGUGAAUAUAGUGUGGAACUGGGCUAUUGAGUGGAUGAUUUGUCAUUAAUCGCUGAGAGAGAAUCAUUGAACAUUCAGUUUGGGAAAGACUUGGUAGAAGUGUAAGACUUUGUGGAAGUUCGGGUUAUUGUUUAACCCAGCUUGUGUGGUAUCUGUUGAGACCAACAACGGGAUGAGCAGCGAGGGGCAAUGUUAGAGUUUGACCAGGUGAUUGGGCUGCGGAAUUAUGUGAAGAAGGGACGAGGAAACUGACGUUGAUGUUAAUUCAUGGAAGUUGGGUACAGCUGAAGUGGAAAUUGAAGUUCCACAUGUGGGCUACUUAUUAGCCAUGAUGUUGUGGUGGUGAAUAACAAGUGUAUUGUUAUCGUGCAGCAUCUCGGUGAAUAACAAGUGUAUUGUUAUUGUGCAGCAGAAACAUAUUGUGUAAAUAUGGAUGUAGUAUUUAGAGCUGAUCUGAAAUGGAGGGUGCUAACUAAUGUUAGUACAUAAUUUAGUUAGAACAAUAUAUGUAUAUAAAAGGUGAUCACGAGGAAGUGAAUCAUAAGGAUUGUGGUAUGAACUGAAACAUUUUAUAUUGAACUGUGUGGUUUUAGUAUAUUAUUUUGUGUGUUGUGAUACGUGAUAUUUUUAUAUGAAAUUAUGUGUAAAGUGGUGAUAAUGUAUGUUUAUUAUAUAUGAGAAGUGUGAGUGUUGAGGGAGUGCUGGUGAUUAGUGGUAUGUGAGAGGGAUAUAAUUAGGGUUAGUAAGUAGGAGUGGAGAAUGAAUGUGAUUGUUAUUUGGGUGCUGUAAAUAAAUGUAAUAUAAUUUA
RNAcentral lists this long non-coding RNA (866 nucleotides) under Gigantopelta aegis. Its description in RNAcentral is "uncharacterized LOC121391902". The record is from RNAcentral. Lineage: Eukaryota; Metazoa; Mollusca; Gastropoda; Neomphalida; Peltospiridae.